This 253-nucleotide ribosomal RNA is filed under the name uncultured bacterium. RNAcentral's name for it is "partial 16S ribosomal RNA". It matches the Rfam family "Bacterial small subunit ribosomal RNA", at positions 524 to 776 of the family's 1533-position model. The record is from RNAcentral.
UACGUAGGGUGCAAGCGUUGUCCGGAAUUAUUGGGCGUAAAGAGCUCGUAGGCGGUCCGUCACGUCUGCCGUGAAAACCCGAGGCUUAACCUCGGGCCUGCGGUGGAUACGGGCGAACUAGAGGUAGGUAGGGGAGAACGGAAUUCCCGGUGUAGCGGUGAAAUGCGCAGAUAUCGGGAGGAACACCGGUGGCGAAGGCGGUUCUCUGGGCCUUACCUGACGCUGAGGAGCGAAAGCGUGGGGAGCGAACAGG